This is a long non-coding RNA of Salarias fasciatus (jewelled blenny), 650 nucleotides long. RefSeq lists it as uncharacterized. The record is from RefSeq and is a predicted model, not a curated record. The transcript has 4 exons. Lineage: Eukaryota; Metazoa; Chordata; Actinopteri; Blenniiformes; Blenniidae.
UUGAGACUCAAUUUGAGACUGAAAUAGGCUUGAAAUCUUUUCUGAGUGUUUUUAAACAGUUUAACAAAGCGCUCUUGAACACAACAUUUGACGUCUGGGAGGAGUAAGUGUCCUCCUUUGAAGAAGGCUGCGUCUUCUGUUUUAACCUUCUUCUGUGAGGCUGGAUAUGUGGGAGAGAGGACGUUUUAUUUUUAUUUUGUACAACCGAAAUGUCCUUUUUGUGUCAUGCCAGAGCGUGUCUCCCGUUGUCUGCAUCACGCCUGUUAAAGCCGGACCGGAGCUCGUGUAAAAGGCUUUAGCACUGCAGCUAGCUGUGAGUCAAAGCAAACGAAACCCCAGAUGUAAUGCACAACAUCACAUGAGACAAAAGAAUGACAAGGCGUCUUAUGGAUGGAGAAUCUUUGCCCCAACCAAAGGCAGAAACUUGGACACUCCUGAAGCUGACGAAAACAUGGACACUCCUGAAGCAGAUCGAUUGCUCCCUGUGCAUAAUGUACGCAAAGGCAGAACAAGAAGACCAUGGACCAAAGUGGAGAAAAAUGCUGUGCUGAGAGUCUCACAUAAAGAAAUCCACAUUGAAGAAGGAGUGCUUGGUUUGCAUAGAAUGUGAACAGCCAGCACUGAAGAGCCGAAGAGAUAUGCCAGAACAU